UACGGGGGGGGCAAGCGUUGUUCGGAAUUACUGGGCGUAAAGGGCUCGUAGGUGGCCAACUAAGUCAGACGUGAAAUCCCUCGGCUCAACCGGGGAACUGCGUCCGAUACUGGCGAGGCUUGGAUCCGGGAGAGGGAUGUGGAAUUCCAGGUGUAGCGGUGAAAUGCGUAGAUAUCUGGAGGAACACGAGUGGCGAAGGCGGCAUCCUGGACCGGUAUUGACGCUGAGGCGCGAAAGCUAGGGUAGCAAACGGG
Molecule: ribosomal RNA, 254 nt
Filed under: uncultured bacterium
Lineage: Bacteria
Description: partial 16S ribosomal RNA
Rfam family: Bacterial small subunit ribosomal RNA
Source: RNAcentral